ACGUAGGGGGCAAGCGUUGUCCGGAUUUACUGGGCGUAAAGGGCGCGUAGGCGGCAAGCUAAGUCAGAUGUGAAAGUCCACGGCUUAACCGUGGAAUUGCAUUUGAAACUGGUUUGCUUGAGUGCAGGAGAGGAGAGCGGAAUUCCUAGUGUAGCGGUGAAAUGCGUAGAUAUCAGGAAGAACACCAGUGGCGAAGGCGGCUCUCUGGACUGUAACUGACGCUGAGGCGCGAAAGCGUGGGUAGCGAACAGGA
Molecule: ribosomal RNA, 253 nt
Filed under: uncultured prokaryote
Description: partial 16S ribosomal RNA
Rfam family: Bacterial small subunit ribosomal RNA
Source: RNAcentral